GGAGAGGCGGCCCAGGUAGGUCGAGCUGUGCUGGGACUGCCCCUACCUCGACAUCGUCAAUCAACAGGUAAGAAGAACAUGGAGAAAAACAAGACAUUGGUAGAUGUUCUUGUUCGCUCAGACAUCUCAUAGGAAGGACGAAGAAUAGUUAACGAGUCUCGGAAGCCGAAGUUCAACCUCUUUGUCAAGCAGGUGUCCGCCAGCAUUGAGAUGGCAGAGCCACACAUUGAUUGUUUCUUGAACAUGGCUAGGGCAAUGGAUAAAAUCUACUCUAGACAGUUGACAAAGGGAG
Triticum aestivum (bread wheat) is the source of this 292-nucleotide long non-coding RNA. RefSeq lists it as uncharacterized. The record is from RefSeq and is a predicted model, not a curated record. Lineage: Eukaryota; Viridiplantae; Streptophyta; Magnoliopsida; Poales; Poaceae. The transcript is spliced from 4 exons.